GAAGUGUUGGCAGAGAGGCCGAUUGCACCGGAUUGCUAAUCCGGAGAUCUGAUAAGGAUCUAGAGGUUCGAAUCCUCUACACUUCG
Molecule: transfer RNA, 86 nt
Filed under: Blautia obeum
Lineage: Bacteria; Bacillati; Bacillota; Clostridia; Lachnospirales; Lachnospiraceae
Description: tRNA-Ser(gct)
Rfam family: tRNA
About the family: Transfer RNA (tRNA) molecules are approximately 80 nucleotides in length. Their secondary structure includes four short double-helical elements and three loops (D, anti-codon, and T loops).
Source: RNAcentral